GACGUAGGGCGCGAGCGUUGUCCGGAUUUAUUGGGCGUAAAGAGCUCGUAGGCGGCUUGUCGCGUCGUUCGUGAAAACCUGCAGCUCAACUGCAGGCUUGCGGUCGAUACGGUCAGGCUGGAGUUCGGUAGGGGAGACUGGAAUUCUCGGUGUAGCGGUGAAAUGCGUAGAUAUCGAGAGGAACACCUGCGGCGAAGGCGGGUUGCUGGGCUGACACUGACGCUGAGGCGCGAAAGCUAGGGGAGCGAACGGG
RNAcentral lists this ribosomal RNA (253 nucleotides) under uncultured bacterium. RNAcentral's name for it is "partial 16S ribosomal RNA". It matches the Rfam family "Bacterial small subunit ribosomal RNA", at positions 524 to 776 of the family's 1533-position model. The record is from RNAcentral.